Manis javanica (Malayan pangolin) is the source of this 492-nucleotide non-coding RNA. NCBI's taxonomy places the organism in Eukaryota, Metazoa, Chordata, Mammalia, Pholidota, Manidae. The record is from RefSeq and is a predicted model, not a curated record.
CAAAACAAAAUGAUUCUUUUCUUGCUGCAUACUUUUAGGAGCAAGAUUUUUAGCACUAGUUAUUAACCAAAUGGAAAUUCAAAAUCGAUUGAGUAUCCAGAGAUAACACAAACAUACCAGAUCAUGAACUACAAAACUACAGCAUUCCUAUCAAGCUGAACAGAAGCAAUGAGAUUUACUUUUGAACACAAUUAGAUGAAAAAACUGAUGCAUGAAGAGGUUAAGUAAGCUCUCCAGUGGAAUGCAAGAAGAACAAGAGCUGUGAUUCAAGAAACCUACACUUUUAAUCCACAUACUCUAAGAAUUCUUCAUAGCAAACCUGCAAAUGUGUAUACUGACAUGUUUAAGGGGGACUUUUAUAGCUUUAAAUGAUUUUAUUCUGAAAAACAUAUGAAAAGAAAUCAGUUGUAGUAAUGGAAAACAAAGUAUACAAAAAAUUGGAAUGAUGGUAAUAAAGAUUGAGGUUAAAGAAAUAAAAAGAAUGAAAUUGAA